This 574-nucleotide long non-coding RNA is filed under the name Daphnia pulicaria. RNAcentral describes it as "uncharacterized LOC124337377, transcript variant X1". Lineage: Eukaryota; Metazoa; Arthropoda; Branchiopoda; Diplostraca; Daphniidae. The record is from RNAcentral.
CAGCAAUUAUGCCAUGGUAUAGGAUGAUUAUGCUUGAAUUAUGGUUGCUGUAUUGGUGAACCACACGAUAGCAGACUAAAAAAGAUCGUUUCCUUUGUAAACAUUUCGUGUGCUGCAUAGAACAGAGCAGGCAACAUCCCAAUCCAUCAGCUUCAUGUUAUACGGCCUCAAAGCUUGUAUAUACCAGACCAGGAGGUAUUCCUCCAAUACCUAAUCAUUAUAAAGACUGAGAAAAUGCUAGCCAGAAGCAGAAAAGGCAUUAUUGCCCUCGAUUGUACUACAUGCUCUUUCUUGGAUUGUUUGUUUUCAUUAGUUAAAUCGUUGGCUGCCUCCAGUCUAAAAAUUUGGUCUCGUUGCCAAUUUAGCUUGUAGUAACUCACCACGGCCUGGACCAUGUGAUGGAUUAAGAAAGAAUUUACUAUUGCAAUAUAAAGGCAAACACAUUUAUUGGUUUAACACAUGUUUGUUCAUGUUACAGAUUCUGAAAAUACACCUCUGGGUAAGAGAAAAACAGUUUACGACAUAUUAGAUUUGAACCAAAUCAAUCGCAACAAUAUAAUAAGAAAAAUUUAGA